This 429-nucleotide ribosomal RNA is filed under the name Pseudomonadota bacterium. RNAcentral describes it as "Proteobacteria bacterium partial 16S ribosomal RNA". It matches the Rfam family "Bacterial small subunit ribosomal RNA", at positions 355 to 776 of the family's 1533-position model. Lineage: Bacteria; Pseudomonadati; Pseudomonadota. The record is from RNAcentral.
UGGGGAAUAUUGGACAAUGGGCGAAAGCCUGAUCCAGCCAUGCCGCGUGUGUGAAGAAGGUCUUCGGAUUGUAAAGCACUUUAAGUUGGGAGGAAGGGCAGUAAGCGAAUACCUUGCUGUUUUGACGUUACCGACAGAAUAAGCACCGGCUAACUCUGUGCCAGCAGCCGCGGUAAUACAGAGGGUGCAAGCGUUAAUCGGAAUUACUGGGCGUAAAGCGCGCGUAGGUGGUUCGUUAAGUUGAAUGUGAAAGCCCCGGGCUCAACCUGGGAACUGCAUCCAAAACUGGCCAGCUAGAGUAGGGCAGAGGGUGGUGGAAUUUCCUGUGUAGCGGUGAAAUGCGUAGAUAUAGGAAGGAACACCAGUGGCGAAGGCGACCACCUGGGCUCAUACUGACACUGAGGUGCGAAAGCGUGGGGAGCAAACAGG